Molecule: unclassified non-coding RNA, 387 nt
Filed under: soil metagenome
Description: partial contains 5.8S ribosomal RNA, internal transcribed spacer 2, and large subunit ribosomal RNA
Rfam family: 5.8S ribosomal RNA (bases 1-122)
Source: RNAcentral
GAUGAAGAACGCAGCGAAAUGCGAUAAGUAAUGUGAAUUGCAGAAUUCAGUGAAUCAUUGAAUCUUUGAACGCACCUUGCACCCUUUGGACUGCUCCAAAGGGUAUGCUCGUUUGAGUGUCAUUGUACUCUCACACUCUCUGAUCCUUUGGAUUUGGGGAGCAGUGGACUUGGGUGCUUGCUGCUUCCUUGUGGCUCACCUGAAAUGCAUCAGUGCAUCUCUCGAUUGGACAUAGUACGGCGUGAUAAGUGUCUUCGCCGGCACCUCAUAUGAGGGUGGCCGAUCGGGAGCUCUGUGCUUUCAAACCGUCUUCGGACAACGCUGACAACUUGACCUCAAAUCGAGUAGGACUACCCGCUGAACUUAAGCAUAUCAAUAAGCGGAGGA